This 462-nucleotide long non-coding RNA is filed under the name Capsicum annuum. RNAcentral's name for it is "long non-coding RNA (CANN_LNC002439)". Lineage: Eukaryota; Viridiplantae; Streptophyta; Magnoliopsida; Solanales; Solanaceae. The record is from RNAcentral.
CUCACUCAUUUCAAAAGAAAAAGAUAUUUCCUCUCUCCACCGGUCUUGAAAAAUUAUCAUUCUACUUUGUUCUUCAUUUCAAGGUUGCUCUCUUUUAUCUUUGUAUUUUCAUUUCACGCAUGAUUUUAUUUUAAUUUUUUCCCGAUUAUUCUUGCUUAUGUAAGCUUGCGGUAGAAUAAUGGUCGUAUUCUACUUGCUCGUUCUUAGCCUUUGCUUCUAUUUGAUUGCUCUUCUUCUUCUUCUUGAUUUUUCUUCAAUUAGUUUAUGAGUCAUCUGCACUUCAUUUGAUUUGAACUUUUGUUCUUUUAUUUAGGUAUAAUAAUGGAAAUCAGAUUACGAGAGGGAAAGCAUUGUCCUGUCAGCUUGCCGCUAAGCGAUAUUAGUCAUUUUAAGUGAAUUUGUAUGUGUUAAACUCAUGCUCUACCUGUUGUAUGUGUAUGGAUGAACACAAUUCCAUAUGAG